UACGAAGGGGGCUAGCGUUGCUCGGAAUUACUGGGCGUAAAGCGUACGUAGGCGGAUCCUUAAGUCGGUGGUGAAAUCCUGAAGCUCAACUUCAGAACUGCCUUCGAUACUGGGGACCUUGAGUUCGGGAGAGGUGAGUGGAACUGCGAGUGUAGAGGUGAAAUUCGUAGAUAUUCGCAAGAACACCAGUGGCGAAGGCGGCUCACUGGCCCGAUACUGACGCUGAGGUACGAAAGCGUGGGGAGCAAACAGG
RNAcentral lists this ribosomal RNA (253 nucleotides) under uncultured bacterium. RNAcentral describes it as "partial 16S ribosomal RNA". It matches the Rfam family "Bacterial small subunit ribosomal RNA", at positions 524 to 776 of the family's 1533-position model. The record is from RNAcentral. RNAcentral also lists the same sequence under 2 other names.